UUCAGUGAAUUUUUCCGAGUCGGAAAACAUAGUUUUCUGCAUAAAAGCGCGCAGUGGAAUUUUGAACGGCAGUACUGGCUGAGAUCUGUCUGGUACUGCAGCUGAGAAAAUUGAUUAUGAGUAAAUAAGAUUAAGAAAUGAGGAAUUAUGAUUAGGGGAGGUAGAAAUAUUUAAAGUGCGAUUUGAAGCGCUAAUCUUAAAGAUUUUGGCCCAAAAUUGGGCCAACGGACAAAAAUAAGUGAACCGGGCCUAAGUGGGUCCAAGACCUAACAUAUAUAUAGCUUUAUUAAGCCAUUUCAGCAACAUUCCUCCCUCCAUUAUUGUGUUCCACGCUGAAUUGAGAAGAGAGAAGAGAAGAGAGAAACCUUAACUCUCUUUGAUCUUCAAAUCACCAUAACUUGAGCUACGGAGCUCCGAUUGACGAGCCGUUUGUGGCUACGCGUCGCUCUUCUCAUCCUCUACAAUUCUAUCUAAGGUUUUUGGAGUGCUCUAGUAUGAGCCAUGGGUGAUAUUCAUCACAAACUUCAGUGGGUUAAGUGUAUUUGAUGGUUUUGGUACACAAUUGGGAGAUUGGUGUUGUUUGAGGAGCUUUGGUGAGGCUUGGGGCUAAGGUUGGUGGAGACUUCCAAAGAAGAGGCUCAAUUGAUUUGGCUACAAGAGAUACAGGUCCAGGUGCUCAGCAGUGAGUUGUGGGUCGUCUGAGAGACGGCGAAUAUCUUUAUUUUCUCUACUUUGUGUUUUGCUUAGAAUCUCUCCACCUUUGUUUCGAAAAGAUUAUAUCAUGUAUUGUACUCUUUUAAACUUGCCUAUAGAGGCUCUCAUGUUUCCUUUGGGAGAGAUUAGGAUAUACUAUUGUCAACUACUUUAAUACUGUACCCUGGCUGGCCUAAACCUCGCGGGUCGCGACU
Long non-coding RNA from Arachis stenosperma, 908 nucleotides. RefSeq lists it as uncharacterized. The record is from RefSeq and is a predicted model, not a curated record. NCBI's taxonomy places the organism in Eukaryota, Viridiplantae, Streptophyta, Magnoliopsida, Fabales, Fabaceae. The transcript has 4 exons.